This 475-nucleotide ribosomal RNA is filed under the name uncultured Thiobacillus sp. Its description in RNAcentral is "bacterial SSU rRNA". It matches the Rfam family "Bacterial small subunit ribosomal RNA", at positions 900 to 1382 of the family's 1533-position model. The record is from RNAcentral. Lineage: Bacteria; Pseudomonadati; Pseudomonadota; Betaproteobacteria; Nitrosomonadales; Thiobacillaceae.
CUUAAAGGAAUUGACGGGACCGUACAAGCGGUGGAUGAUGUGGAUUAAUCGAUGCAACGCGAAGAACCUUACCUACCCUUGACAUGUCCGGAACUUGCCAGAGAUGGCUUGGUGCCCGAAAGGGAAUCGGAACACAGGUGCUGCAUGGCUGUCGUCAGCUCGUGUCGUGAGAUGUUGGGUUAAGUCCCGCAACGAGCGCAACCCUUAUCAUUAGUUGCUACGCAAGGGCACUCUAAUGAGACUGCCGGUGACAAACCGGAGGAAGGUGGGGAUGACGUCAAGUCCUCAUGGCCCUUAUGGGUAGGGCUUCACACGUCAUACAAUGGUCGGUACAGAGGGUUGCCAAGCCGCGAGGCGGAGCCAAUCCCACAAAGCCGAUCGUAGUCCGGAUUGUUCUCUGCAACUCGAGAGCAUGAAGUCGGAAUCGCUAGUAAUCGCAGGUCAGCAUACUGCGGUGAAUACGUUCCCGGGUCUU